Molecule: long non-coding RNA, 1255 nt
Filed under: Nicotiana tabacum (common tobacco)
Lineage: Eukaryota; Viridiplantae; Streptophyta; Magnoliopsida; Solanales; Solanaceae
Description: long non-coding RNA (NTAB_LNC019375)
Source: RNAcentral
GCAGUAGAGGAAGUUAUGGAAAAGGUUGAAGAAGAUUCAGAGGAGAAUUGAGCAAACUAUUUUUAAGGUAAACUUGUGAGGUAAUGUGUUUUGGUUUAUAUAAAAGAGAUAGCUAAGUUCUCUAUUAAACAGCUUGUACACUAAACUGAGGGGUGUAUUUCCGGGGGUGGAUUUUGGUUGUUUUUGCGGUACACGCGAACCCAUGGUCUUUUCGUCAAAUCGAGUAUUUUAUGUAUAUAUUUUGUAAAAUUAAUCUAAUAUUAUCGGUUGGGCCUCAUGCUCCAAAAAGGUUGAAUGAUGCACCUGCUUGAAUGCUUUAUCCAAAGGAACAUGGAUCGAUUCCCACUUAGUGCUUUUUCCCCUCAUUUUUCAAUGGUGCACCCAUAUUUUAGAAAUCUUAGGUCGCCUCUGUGUAUUUCUACAAUCUAGGAGCUACUAAAUGGAUAUUCAUAUUGAGGCUGGUAGCACAUGGGAGAAUACUUACCGGAGACAGAUUGCUGCAAUGGGAAAUGGACGUACCAUAGUCUUGCCCUUUCUGCAAUAAUAAGAUUGAGAGUAGAUCACGUUUAUUUUUCCAAUGUGACUCUACUGCUUAGAUCUAGAAUAAGAUCUUGUUCAAACAAGAAGUUAAUAGGAGAACCAUAGAUUGGCUAGAGCAAUUAAAGUAGGCUGAAGAUCAUGCAAAGAGGAGAAGCUCUAAAGCAGAAGCUUAUAGGAUUGCACGUGCAAGAUUGAGAGUAUAUCGCACCUAUUUUGUAUGUCGUUUGUAUGUAUUGUGGAUGUUAUUUGUAUCUUCAAUGUAUUAUUGGACAUACAAUAACAUACACACAACUUACGAAAUAGGGGUCGGUUUAAAUUGGAUCUAGAUAUUUAAAUUGGAGCUUUUGUUCUUGAGAUGCCAUGUGGCACUCCGUUUAAUUAGGGUUAUAUUUGUGCCUAAGUGUAACAGUAGGGUCCUAAUUGAUUGGAUAGUGAAAUGGAGGAUAUAUUUAAAUUAUUUUUGAUAAUACAAGAGUAUAUUUCUCCCUUUCCAAAUAUUAUAAGUUACGAUUCAUUCAAGGCAAAAUACAUAAGUUACCCUCUGAUUUAUGGACCAAAUCCCUUGUACGAUUUUUUUACGGACAAGAAUUAUCUUAUACACUUAACCUUUCUAAAGUGUAGCUAAGACACCACUUUUUUCUUGAACAGAUUUUUAAAAUAUGUGUGAUAUCAAGCACCAAUAAGGUUGUGACAUGUGUCCCCACUCAAAAAAAAA